CCCCUAGAUGUUCUGGGCCGCACGCGCGCUACACUGAACAGUUCAACAAGUCUUAACCUUGGCCGAUAGGUCUGGGUAAUCUUUGAACGCUGUUCGUGAUUGGGAUAGACCUUUGCAAUUAUGGGUCUUCAACGAGGAAUUCCUAGUAAACGCAAGUCAUCAGCUUGCAUUGAUUACGUCCCUGCCCUUUGUACACACCGCCCGUCACACCUACCGAUUGAAUGGUCCGGUGAAAUCUCGGGACGGCGGCUUGGUCGCUUGCGUCCGACUGCUGAAACUUGAUUAAACCAUAUCAUUUAGAGGAAGGUGAANUCGUANCA
RNAcentral lists this ribosomal RNA (320 nucleotides) under uncultured eukaryote. Its description in RNAcentral is "partial 18S ribosomal RNA". It matches the Rfam family "Eukaryotic small subunit ribosomal RNA", at positions 1470 to 1796 of the family's 1831-position model. The record is from RNAcentral.